UGGGGAAUAUUGCACAAUGGGCGCAAGCCUGAUGCAGCCAUGCCGCGUGUGUGAAGAAGGCCUUCGGGUUGUAAAGCACUUUCAGCGGGGAGGAAGGCGAUAAGGUUAAUAACCUUGUCGAUUGACGUUACCCGCAGAAGAAGCACCGGCUAACUCCGUGCCAGCAGCCGCGGUAAUACGGAGGGUGCAAGCGUUAAUCGGAAUUACUGGGCGUAAAGCGCACGCAGGCGGUCUGUCAAGUCGGAUGUGAAAUCCCCGGGCUUAACCUGGGAACUGCAUUCGAAACUGGCAGGCUAGAGUCUUGUAGAGGGGGGUAGAAGUCCAGGUGUAGCGGUGAAAUGCGUAGAGAUCUGGAGGAAUACCGGUGGCGAAGGCGGCCCCCUGGACGAAGACUGACGCUCAGGUGCGAAAGCGUGGGGAGCAAACAGG
Molecule: ribosomal RNA, 429 nt
Filed under: Chloroflexota bacterium
Lineage: Bacteria; Bacillati; Chloroflexota
Description: Chloroflexi bacterium partial 16S ribosomal RNA
Rfam family: Bacterial small subunit ribosomal RNA
Source: RNAcentral